ACGAACGCUGGCGGCAUGCCUAACACAUGCAAGUCGAACGAGACCUUCGGGUCUAGUGGCGCACGGGUGCGUAACGCGUGGGAACCUGCCCUUAGGUUCGGAAUAACUCCCCGAAAGGGGUGCUAAUACCGGAUAAUGUCUUCGGACCAAAGAUUUAUCGCCUUUGGAUGGGCCCGCGUUGGAUUAGCUAGUUGGUAGGGUAAAAGCCUACCAAGGCGACGAUCCAUAGCUGGUCUGAGAGGAUGGUCAGCCACACUGGGACUGAGACACGGCCCAGACUCCUACGGGAGGCAGCAGUGGGGAAUAUUGGACGAUGGGCGAAAGCCUGAUCCAGCAAUGCCGCGUGAGUGAUGAAGGCCUUAGGGUUGUAAAGCUCUUUUACCCGGGAUGAUAAUGACAGUACCGGGAGAAUAAGCGCCGGCUAACUCCGUG
RNAcentral lists this ribosomal RNA (432 nucleotides) under uncultured bacterium. RNAcentral's name for it is "partial 16S ribosomal RNA". It matches the Rfam family "Bacterial small subunit ribosomal RNA", at positions 29 to 507 of the family's 1533-position model. The record is from RNAcentral.